UGGGGAAUUUUGGACAAUGGGCGAAAGCCUGAUCCAGCAAUGCCGCGUGUGUGAAGAAGGCCUUCGGGUUGUAAAGCACUUUUGUCCGGAAAGAAAUCCUUGGCUCUAAUACAGUCGGGGGAUGACGGUACCGGAAGAAUAAGCACCGGCUAACUACGUGCCAGCAGCCGCGGUAAUACGUAGGGUGCAAGCGUUAAUCGGAAUUACUGGGCGUAAAGCGUGCGCAGGCGGUUUGCUAAGACCGAUGUGAAAUCCCCGGGCUCAACCUGGGAACUGCAUUGGUGACUGGCAGGCUAGAGUAUGGCAGAGGGGGGUAGAAUUCCACGUGUAGCAGUGAAAUGCGUAGAGAUGUGGAGGAAUACCGAUGGCGAAGGCAGCCCCCUGGGCCAAUACUGACGCUCAUGCACGAAAGCGUGGGGAGCAAACAGGAUUAGAUACCCUGGUAGUCCACGCCCUAAACGAUGUCAACUAGUUGUUGGGGAUUCAUUUCCUUAGUAACGUAGCUAACGCGUGAAGUUGACCGCCUGGGGAGUACGGUCGCAAGAUUAAAACUCAAAGGGAAUUGACGGGGUCAUAGCUG
RNAcentral lists this ribosomal RNA (580 nucleotides) under uncultured bacterium. Its description in RNAcentral is "partial 16S ribosomal RNA". It matches the Rfam family "Bacterial small subunit ribosomal RNA", at positions 355 to 932 of the family's 1533-position model. The record is from RNAcentral.